GAAGGCGGUGACGACUCGGAAUAUAUCAAGCUCAACAGACCGGAAUGAGCCGUUUCCUUUUUACUAGGGAUUCGUUUCUGUGUCGAUAAUCCCGCUGAACUGAGCCUUC
Small nucleolar RNA from Raphanus sativus (radish), 109 nucleotides. RefSeq annotates it as small nucleolar RNA Z107/R87. Lineage: Eukaryota; Viridiplantae; Streptophyta; Magnoliopsida; Brassicales; Brassicaceae. The record is from RefSeq and is a predicted model, not a curated record. The transcript has a single exon.